GAUGAACGCUGGCGGCGUGCUUAACACAUGCAAGUCGAACGAGGUCCAUGGAGCUUGCUCCGGAAGACCUAGUGGCGAACGGGUGCGUAACACGUGAGAAACCUGCCCCGAUCUCUGGGA
Molecule: ribosomal RNA, 120 nt
Filed under: uncultured bacterium
Lineage: Bacteria
Description: partial 16S ribosomal RNA
Rfam family: Bacterial small subunit ribosomal RNA
Source: RNAcentral